UUGAGGUGGUGGGCCGGGCGGCAACCUCUCCGCUCCUUCUCGCCCCGCGGGCGGCUGGGGCCGCCUCUGCACCCGGCGCGCGCGGGCCCUUUAAGAGCUACACCAGCCGAGCUGCAGUUUGACAUCAGCCGGCCGGCGAGGGCGCGCCUGGAGCCGGAGCACGUGCCAGGAUGUUUUAUUGCCGCCGCGGCUGCGGCCGGGCGGGGAGGAUGUGUGUGUGCGUGCGUGUGUGAGUGUGUGUGCGCGCGCCCCGGGGGCAGGGAGGCGGGGGGUGGCGGCGGGCGGCGGAGCGCGGGGGCUGGUUCUUGGUCCCCGGGAGAAGCCAAGAAGGAAGGCGACUGUGGAGGCAACCUCCUUGAAGGUGGCAGUGAGUCUUCAAAGAGUCGCUUCGAUGGAUGGAGGCCAAGGUGACUUCGGAUGUGGACAGGACAUCUCAUGAGGAGACCCUGCUUGGCUGGAAGGUUCUCCUAGCAUUGACUUGGUUGUACUAAGAAACGUGGGCAUCCGGUGUUGUUCUUCAGGGUCAUCGAAAGCCAAGUCCGCAGAUGAUUUGGAGCAUGUGGGGCUUGCUGUAAAGGCUGCCUGGGAGAGGGCAACCCCCCCUCCACUGCUCACACUGUCCCCAGCCUGCCAGUGGAACCAAAGACUGCAGAUCUCCACUGUGCCUUACUCCCCAUAACUGGGACCUCGUCUCACAUCCCUCACCCACAGCCAGCCCACGUGGGACAUCGAGUAGGUGCUUAGUAACUACUUGCCGAAAGGAUUGGUGAAUGAAUGGCUUGUUCGCCUCUGUGGGAGGAAUCACAGAUGUCCCCGUCUCGAAGGGCCUUCCCGGGACUGACUGGAGCUUUGUGAAUGCUGUGAGCUCUGUGUGUUCCUUUUAUGAGCUGGGUUGGUUACGGCCGGUGCAGGUCAUCCCAUGGUAUGGGUUCACCUGUGUCCCCUUAAAAAAGAUAUCGAAGUCCUAACCCCUAGUACUUCAGAAUGGGACCUUUUUUUGAAAUAUGCGUUGCGAGAGGUUUGCAGAUGUAAUUUGCUAAAAUGAGGUCAUGAUGGAUAGAGUAGGGUGGGCCCUUAAUCCAGGGGGACUGGUGUCCUCCCAAGAAGAAAAGGAGACAGGCACACAGGGGGACGACAGUCAUGUGACGAUGCAGGCAGAGAUGAGGGUUGCACCCAGAAGCCGAGCGGUGCUGAGGAACGCCAGCAGGUGCCAAAAGCUAGGGGAGGCAGGCCAGGAUUCUCCCCUCUAGAUUUCAGAGGGAGCUGGGCUCUGCUGACUCCUUGAUCUCAGACUUACAGCUCCCAGAACUGUGAGGCAAUACAUUUCUGUUGUCUUUUUUUUUUUCCCCAAAGAUUUUAUUUGUUCAUCAGAGAGA
This is a long non-coding RNA of Lutra lutra (Eurasian river otter), 1376 nucleotides long. RefSeq lists it as uncharacterized. Lineage: Eukaryota; Metazoa; Chordata; Mammalia; Carnivora; Mustelidae. The transcript has 3 exons. The record is from RefSeq and is a predicted model, not a curated record.